This 349-nucleotide unclassified non-coding RNA is filed under the name Hevea brasiliensis (rubber tree). Lineage: Eukaryota; Viridiplantae; Streptophyta; Magnoliopsida; Malpighiales; Euphorbiaceae. The record is from RNAcentral.
UGGUUUUUUAUUGUUUCAUACUCUGACUUUCUGAUAGACGCGAGAUAUUCCCUCUCGGAAUAAGUUGAAUCAUACGAAUGAUAUCCCAACAGAAAUCUCCAGACCUCUUUCCUCAGACCUUUCUCCACACCGCCGUAAAAGAUCCUCUUUCUUAGUGCCUGCGAGUCUACGAUCCUACCUUCAGAGUCCAAAAAGGUGGACCACUCUUCUGAUCCCAACGGAGGCUGGCGCGGUUUUCCCCAUACUAGUGAUAAUUUGUCAUAGUCAUACUCUAAAUUUUCAUCGCGCAUUGCAGCUUCUUCAUUCUUAUUAUGUUUCUCACAAGAACUUUCCUCGGACGAAUUUGCAG